UAGUCAUGUUAGCUUGGAGUUAAAAUAUGACACACAUUAAAAGUGUUGAACAGAGAGAGCUCGAGAGCUGAUCCCAGGGAAAAUAACGAUAAAAAUGAAUAACGGUACAUGUUAAGUUCGUCUUCGGUAAGCAGCCUCUUAGGGGGGAGCUGAAGCCGGACUGUAUCGAGGGAAAGCCGGGAAGGCAAAACCUGGGGGUAUUUUAUCAAAACCCUUUGUACUGUUUAUGUGAGGUGGGAGGAACCUAGAGAACUCAGAUGAACUCUACAUGAGCAUGGAGAGAAGAUAUGAAGCUCCACACCGACACUAACCCGAGCCGGAGCCGAGAAAGACGCAGCUACCGAUGCUUCAAUUUUAAAAUUGAAGAAACAUCUGCCACACAGACAGUUUUUUCUUCUGAUCUCAGCUGCUGUCAAAGUUUUCUCCCUCGUCCUCAUUUAGCAGGAUUCAUCCUUCCCUCUGUCGCCCUCAGCGCUCAUUAAACACCCGAGCUGCUGCUUUCGACCGUGUUUACAGUCGCAAACUGUGUAAGAAUUAAAACUUCCAGAGACAUCUGAGAGACACAUCUACAGAUACAGAACCAAGUUUGCUGGAACAUUAUUUUAGAAUACAUUAUUUAAAACUGAGACAAAAGCAGAAAUCAUCAUAUUUGAAUAUCCUUCCACGAGCUGUUUGGUUGGAUUUGUUCACAUCCUGACAGAAGAAGAUAAAAACAGCAGCCAGAGGUUAGAUGAAUAUAUUUAAACACUGACUAUAACUGCGACUAUGCUAAGCUAUGCAAAUAUUUCUGCACCAGUGUGUGGAAUAUUUCUGCCUCUGUUACAGAGAACUGACUUUAUCUCUAAAGUGUGAUGGACAGGGUGACAUGAAACACUCCAGAGCUCCAGAUUCUUGCUCAUCGUCGUCUGUUAGUGAACAAAAUAAGUCUUUAAUUUUUUUUACACUCUUGGCUGUUUUUGGAUGUUAAUUGUUUUUUUUAGUCAAUAAGUGAUUAAUCUCCGAACUCUCGGGCUUCAUCACCGAACAUUUGGUGACUUCAGCAUGAAGGAAUUUAAAUGAAAUCUAUGACGCUGAUGCG
Molecule: long non-coding RNA, 1078 nt
Organism: Tachysurus fulvidraco (yellow catfish)
Lineage: Eukaryota; Metazoa; Chordata; Actinopteri; Siluriformes; Bagridae
Exons: 3
Source: RefSeq, a predicted model, not a curated record